ACAUUCCAAACCAAUCAGCAGCAGACCCUCCCUCCCAGACCCUCCCACCUCCUGGACAGCAUCCAUUUUGAAGCUGCAUUCUUAGUGAGCUGUCCAGGAGGUGGGAGGGUCUGGGAGGGAGGGUCUGCUGCUGAUUGGCUGGAAUGU
Molecule: non-coding RNA, 147 nt
Organism: Pelobates cultripes (western spadefoot toad)
Lineage: Eukaryota; Metazoa; Chordata; Amphibia; Anura; Pelobatidae
Source: the annotation of a GenBank genome assembly